This is a long non-coding RNA of Amblyraja radiata (thorny skate), 146 nucleotides long. RefSeq lists it as uncharacterized. NCBI's taxonomy places the organism in Eukaryota, Metazoa, Chordata, Chondrichthyes, Rajiformes, Rajidae. The transcript has 3 exons. The record is from RefSeq and is a predicted model, not a curated record.
ACCUUAUUACAUUGUAUCCUUGGUUUAAAGCAGGGGAGGCAAAGGUUUAUCAUUCUUUACAUCCAAAUUAGGAUCAAAUUCCAAAAGAUGUUUCUUCUGCAAUGCGCCUGGAUGUGAUUGUAGAUUCCGCAGGCCUCGCCGGCCCG